Molecule: ribosomal RNA, 253 nt
Filed under: uncultured bacterium
Lineage: Bacteria
Description: partial 16S ribosomal RNA
Rfam family: Bacterial small subunit ribosomal RNA
Source: RNAcentral
UACGGAGGGGGCUAGCGUUGCUCGGAUUGACUGGGCGUAAAGGGCGCGUAGGCGGUUCGUACAGUCAGACGUGAAAUUCCUGGGCUCAACCUGGGGGCUGCGUUUGAUACGUGCGGACUUGAGUGCGGAAGAGGGUCGUGGAAUUCCCAGUGUAGAGGUGAAAUUCGUAGAUAUUGGGAAGAACACCGGUGGCGAAGGCGGCGACCUGGUCCGAUACUGACGCUGAGGCGCGAAAGCGUGGGGAGCAAACAGG